UAGAUUGGCCACGGCGAUGCCUACGGAAUGGCCAUCGCCCACGAAGUGGCUGCGGGCAUGGGCGGAAUUCGUACCGCCGGAGAUCUGGUGGCACGUGUCC
This is a regulatory RNA element of Thermacetogenium phaeum DSM 12270, 100 nucleotides long. It matches the Rfam family "Pyrrolysine insertion sequence mtbB". The record is from Rfam. NCBI's taxonomy places the organism in Bacteria, Bacillati, Bacillota, Clostridia, Thermoanaerobacterales, Thermoanaerobacteraceae.